GAUGAACGCUGGCGGCGUGCUUAACACAUGCAAGUCGAACGGAAACAUAUUGAAACCUAGUGAUAUAUGUUUUAGUGGCGGACGGGUGAGUAACGCGUGGGUAACCUGCCUUGUACUGGGGGAUAACAGUUAGAAAUAGCUGCUAAUACCGCAUAAGACCACAGUUUCGCAUGAAACAGAGGUAAAAACUCCGGUGGUACAAGAUGGACCCGCGUCUGAUUAGCUAGUUGGUGAGGUAACGGCUCACCAAGGCGACGAUCAGUAGCCGGCCUGAGAGGGUGAACGGCCACAUUGGGACUGAGACACGGCCCAAACUCCUACGGGAGGCAGCAGUGGGGAAUAUUGCACAAAUGGGGGGAAACCCUGAUGCAGCGACGCCGCGUGAGUGAAGAAGUAUUUCGGUAUGUAAAGCUCUAUCAGCAGGGAAGAAAAAUGACGGUACCUGACUAAGAAGCCCCGGCUAACUACGUG
This 471-nucleotide ribosomal RNA is filed under the name uncultured bacterium. RNAcentral's name for it is "bacterial SSU rRNA". It matches the Rfam family "Bacterial small subunit ribosomal RNA", at positions 28 to 507 of the family's 1533-position model. The record is from RNAcentral.